AAACGAUAACUAUGGAAAUACUGGAUAGCGUCUGCAAUCAAGAAUGAAAAAUAAUAACUAGAAAUGAAUUCAACUAACUGAUUAAAAAAAAGGAGCCUACAGCACCCCGGAUUCCCAUGUUGUCUCCAACCAUAGUACUAACGAGGCCCUCAGACGCUUAACUGCAGUGAUCGGACGGGAACUGGUGUUUUCACCUAGGUAUGGCCGUA
Molecule: non-coding RNA, 209 nt
Organism: Schizosaccharomyces pombe (fission yeast)
Lineage: Eukaryota; Fungi; Ascomycota; Schizosaccharomycetes; Schizosaccharomycetales; Schizosaccharomycetaceae
Source: the annotation of a GenBank genome assembly